RNAcentral lists this transfer RNA (72 nucleotides) under Bos taurus (domestic cattle). It matches the Rfam family "tRNA". From Rfam's summary of the family: Transfer RNA (tRNA) molecules are approximately 80 nucleotides in length. Their secondary structure includes four short double-helical elements and three loops (D, anti-codon, and T loops). Further hydrogen bonds mediate the characteristic L-shaped molecular structure. tRNAs have two regions of fundamental functional importance: the anti-codon, which is responsible for specific mRNA codon recognition, and the 3' end, to which the tRNAs corresponding amino acid is attached (by aminoacyl-tRNA synthetases). tRNAs cope with the degeneracy of the genetic code in two manners: having more than one tRNA (with a specific anti-codon) for a particular amino acid; and 'wobble' base-pairing, i.e. permitting non-standard base-pairing at the 3rd anti-codon position. RNAcentral also lists the same sequence under 4 other names. Lineage: Eukaryota; Metazoa; Chordata; Mammalia; Artiodactyla; Bovidae. The record is from Rfam by way of RNAcentral.
UCCCUGGUGGCUUAGAUGGUAAAGAAUCUGCCUGCCAUUCAGGAGACCUGGGUUCGAUUCCUCGGUAGGGAA